Quercus lobata is the source of this 1377-nucleotide long non-coding RNA. RefSeq lists it as uncharacterized. The record is from RefSeq and is a predicted model, not a curated record. Lineage: Eukaryota; Viridiplantae; Streptophyta; Magnoliopsida; Fagales; Fagaceae. The transcript has 5 exons.
CCACGUCAGCUAUCCACAUCAGCUUUCACUACUAUUAAAAUUCUCACGUGACUCUCACAUGACUCACUUAACACCAUCCUGCAACAACUCAGACUCAGACCCGAUUGAAUUCUUAAUCCCCAAAAUGAAAUUUCGAACCCUAACCCACGAUGAAAUCCUUCUUGACAGCCACAUCUCUUCUUGCCUAGUCCCCACGAUCAAAGCUUAAUCUCUUCUCACCGAUUCCACUCUCUUCUCGUAGACUCUGGUGAUUGUAGACCAAAACCAUUGAUGAAUAACUCUGUAACUCACUCAUAUCCAUAGCUUGAUUUCUAUGCUCUUUAAAUGGCUAGUUACUUGUGAAGGGACGAAUCAAAAUUUGAGGAACACAACUACUGGUGUUUAGGAUUUCUCAAGGGAAAACAUUGGAGAAGCAAGGAAUUCAAAUAAAGCCUUCCUCUUGGACCUCCUAUUUGAAAGGUUUUGUCACAUGGGGAGGCACAGUCAAUGGCUUCUACAUGUACUCGAUCAAGAUAUCAGUCUCCAAAUGACUUUGCAAUCAACUGCAUAAGAAUAAUAAUGGACGCCCAAAAAUCACCCUGGUGUUCUUAUUAGGGAGUUUUUCUGGAAAGCUACAAAAGCAACAUAUCUCCAAGAAUAUGAGAGGGUCAUGGAUGAACCAAAAGAAAUUGAUAAAGGGGCAUACAACUGUUUGCAAGACCAUUCAACAACAAUCUGGUCUAGACAUAUGUUUCAUGGGGAUGCAAUGAGUGAUACGGUACUGAACAAUAUGUGUGAGAGUUUUAAUAGCAGGAUCUUGAAAUUUAGAGGGAAGCCUAUAAUCAGCAUGGGGCGUGAGGGUGGUCCAAGUGGUGGACCUCCCAUUAUUGAACCAAAUCAGACAAGUGCACCACCUACCACCAAUGAAGUAGAAUUCCCUUGUGCACCACCCAACUCCAAUGCUACCACUUCAACUCUAAGUAGAAACAACUGUAGGGGUUCAACAAAGUCAAAAAAAAAAAAAAGAACAAUCAUUGAUGAGACUCUGAGAGCUACUACAAAUGCAUCAAGGUAUAUGGAUGCAUUGAGGUUUAUUGAGAGCCAGUCUUUUAUGCAUGGUCCAAGAUUGUAAGUAGGAUGUGCUAGAGUUAUUUUGUAGAGGAGGGCAGCGUAAUAUUAGAGGGUAGCUUAAUAUUUUGUUACUAGCUGGAUCUUGAAUUAAGUUGAUUUUAAUUAAUGUUAAUGGCCUCCUUGAUUUUUGUAAUGGCCUUCUUCACAUUUGUUUUAUAAUUGUCUUGACUAUUGGAAUGUCCUUGACUGUUUACAAGCUAGACAAUGGCUUUUAUUAGCUAAACAAUGGUUUUCAUUGUCAAUGGAAUCAGAAUUUAUUUUGUUAUA